Molecule: long non-coding RNA, 1216 nt
Organism: Myzus persicae (green peach aphid)
Lineage: Eukaryota; Metazoa; Arthropoda; Insecta; Hemiptera; Aphididae
Exons: 3
Source: RefSeq, a predicted model, not a curated record
AAAUUAAAUUUUAAGUAUAAAACAUGAUAUAACAUAUUUUUUAUUUUAAAUGUCGACCCAAUUUUUAAAUUAUCAGCCAAGUCACCCUUCACCAGGGUACCUCUCAAUUCUCGGCAAUCCUCCAGAGUUCAAGUAUUUGAUUUAUGAUUUUUUUUUACUGUCAUACUACCUAUAAUAUAAUAGCUAUAGAUCUUUAUUAUUCUCACGAUUGAAUCUGUUUAACAAUAUUACGACUGAAAACCAAUAUGUUCUUCCUAGCACAUGAGCACUAAGGUAGAGCAUAAAAAGUAUCAUCUACCAAGAUUACUAUACCAUGCGUAAAAAUAUGUCAAUAAAAUUAUUUUUAUACAUAAUUGAAACGCAUAAUGACGGUAGUUGUAGGCACCAGCUAUAAGAAGUACACUAUAGUAUUGCUAGUUUACAUGAUUUUUCCACGUAACACUAACAGUCUUUUGUUUUAUGAUCGUCUAUUAUUGGCCAUUAUGCGAUACGGAUUUCGCACGUGUUCUGUAGUGUGUGCGUGGGGGAGGAGGGGGGUUCUUGGGGGUCACAGAAGUACAGAACGUUCUGACCAAAAUUAAAAUUCGUUUCGAUAUCCAUCUCGGGACUCUUGAUUUCUAUCUAGUCAGUGACCAAACGCAAACAAACGGUUGAAGAAAAACUCGGCCGUUGGUUUCACGCCGUGGCUGUUAUAUUAUAUUAGACACGGCACGCGCAGCGCAUAGUGGAUGCAUACGACGGAGUGCCGGACUGCAGCUGACGGGCCCCAGACGAAGACAAUGAUGAUGGUUUAAUGGCCCUAGAGCGACGUUGCCAGUUGCUGUUGGAGACCCGACGUAGUUGUUGCAGUCGUACACCAGUACCGCGGGUACGCGCGACGUUGCCGAGUCGUCCGUGCGCGAUAUAAAAGUUCCGUGAUAGAUAUUAUUCCGCGACGGCAAUGUGGCGUCACUGUGCUCCAGGAGAAAGAGCCGCCGGGAAAACAUCGUUACGUAACGAGAAUAGUAAACUAUACAUAGGUGCAACGUCGCCUAUUGUGAAUUCAAUCAAGACAAACGUCUAAUAAGUAAAACUAAUCGUUUAGUUUAAAAAUAACCUUCAUUGAAGUAAAACAACAAUGAGGCGUCAACACUGUUACAACCAAGACACAAUAAAUAUUAUAGAAAAAAUAAUAAAAUCUACUAACUUCAACUUAAAUAAAUGUUGUGAGUAUAUA